GACGAACCGUGCGAACGUUGUUCGGAAUCACUGGGCUUAAAGGGUGCGUAGGCGGGUCACCAAGUCCGGGGUGAAAUCCUCCAGCUUAACUGGAGAAUAGCCUUGGAUACUGGUGGUCUCGAGGGAGGUAGGGGCAGCUGGAACUUCCGGUGGAGCGGUGAAAUGCGUUGAUAUCGGAAGGAACGCCGGUGGCGAAAGCGAGCUGCUGGACCUCUUCUGACGCUGAGGCACGAAAGCCAGGGGAGCAAACGGG
Molecule: ribosomal RNA, 253 nt
Filed under: uncultured bacterium
Lineage: Bacteria
Description: partial 16S ribosomal RNA
Rfam family: Bacterial small subunit ribosomal RNA
Source: RNAcentral